GACGAACGCUGGCGGCGUGCUUAACACAUGCAAGUCGAACGGAAAGGCCCUGCUUUUGUGGUGUGCUCGAGUGGCGAACGGGUGAGUAACACGUGAGUAACCUGCCCUUGACUUUGGGAUAACUUCAGGAAACUGGGGCUAAUACCGUAUAGGAGCUCCUGCUGCAUGGUGGGGGUUGGAAAGUUUCGGCGGUUGGGGAUGGACUCGCGGCUUAUCAGCUUGUUGGUGGGGUAGUGGCUUACCCAGGCUUUGACGGGUAGGCGGCCUGAGAGGGUGACCGGCGACAUGGGGCCUAAGAGAGGGCGCAGAGUGCUACGGGAGGCAGCAGUGGGGAAUAUUACACAAUGGGCGGACGCCUGAGGCAGAAACGCCGCGUGCGGGAUGACGGCCUUCGGGUUGAAAACCGCUUUAGCUUGUGACGAAGCGGGAGUGACGGUAAUGGGUGAAGAAGCACCGGCUAACUACGUG
This 468-nucleotide ribosomal RNA is filed under the name uncultured bacterium. Its description in RNAcentral is "partial 16S ribosomal RNA". It matches the Rfam family "Bacterial small subunit ribosomal RNA", at positions 28 to 507 of the family's 1533-position model. The record is from RNAcentral.